UCAAGCAUCAAAGUCCUAUCCCUACUGAAUGUUGCAGGAUAUAAAGCCCUAGUCAACAGUUACUUCUUCAACGUGGCGUGUCUUGCUGACUCAUGCCAUUAAUGGAAAUGAAAUGUGUAUUCCAAUAGAGGAGCAGCUGACGCCACUUCAACAAAUCAUCAGGAACAACCAGGAGACGAAGACUUGAUUGCGAUCGGAUAAUUAUUUUAUUUUACAUUGUAUCACAAUUGUUUUUUUUUUUGUACUUUUCUUUUAUGAUUGUCGAGUAAGAAUAGAGUAUAGAGACAUACUUUCAUGUGAAUGGCCGGAACGGAAUAGGGACAUUCCGUCUAACAGGAAGGCCGUCUGUUAGCAUUUUAAAAAUCAAAUUAUGAAUAUUAUUAUAAUAGUGGUAUAAAAACAUAAUUAUAUAUAUUUUAAAUGUAUCUUUGAUUGGUAAAACAUACUGUUUAUUCUGGCAAGACGUAAAACGGAACGUCAUAAUUAUUGUAAUCUGUGGGUGGAUAGAAAAACGACAACUGUGGAGUGAACGGACGUUAGCGAUUAAUUAUUAUAAAAACAUAUAUGUAAAGAUUCUGAUUACAUGUUGUUUAAUCUUCA
Molecule: long non-coding RNA, 600 nt
Organism: Leguminivora glycinivorella
Lineage: Eukaryota; Metazoa; Arthropoda; Insecta; Lepidoptera; Tortricidae
Exons: 2
Source: RefSeq, a predicted model, not a curated record